AACGAACGCUGGCGGCAGGCCUAACACAUGCAAGUCGAGCGGACCCUUCGGGGUUAGCGGCGGACGGGUGAGUAACGCGUGGGAAUAUGCCCUUCUCUACGGAAUAGUCCUGGGAAACUGGGGGUAAUACCGUAUACGCCCUUUGGGGGAAAGAUUUAUCGGGGAAGGAUUAGCCCGCGUUGGAUUAGGUAGUUGGUGGGGUAAUGGCCUACCAAGCCGACGAUCCAUAGCUGGUUUGAGAGGAUGAUCAGCCACACUGGGACUGAGACACGGCCCAGACUCCUACGGGAAGCAGCAGUGGGGAAUCUUAGACAAUGGGGGCAACCCUGAUCGAGCCAUGCCGCGUGAGUGAUGAAGGCCUUAGGGUUGUAAAGCUCUUUCAGCUGGGAAGAUAAUGACGGUACCAGCAGAAGAAGCCCCGGCUAACUCCGUG
RNAcentral lists this ribosomal RNA (433 nucleotides) under uncultured bacterium. Its description in RNAcentral is "partial 16S ribosomal RNA". It matches the Rfam family "Bacterial small subunit ribosomal RNA", at positions 29 to 507 of the family's 1533-position model. The record is from RNAcentral.